Molecule: ribosomal RNA, 67 nt
Filed under: Alternaria sp. BMP-2012
Lineage: Eukaryota; Fungi; Ascomycota; Dothideomycetes; Pleosporales; Pleosporaceae
Description: partial 28S ribosomal RNA
Source: RNAcentral
CAGCCAAGGUCAGCGUCCAGCAAGCCUUUUUUUUCAACCUUUGACCUCGGAUCAGGUAGGGAUACCC